This is a long non-coding RNA of Ailuropoda melanoleuca (giant panda), 1596 nucleotides long. RefSeq lists it as uncharacterized. The transcript has 4 exons. The record is from RefSeq and is a predicted model, not a curated record. NCBI's taxonomy places the organism in Eukaryota, Metazoa, Chordata, Mammalia, Carnivora, Ursidae.
CCUGCUUCUUCCUCUCCCACUCCCCCUGCUUGUGUUCCCUCUCUCGCUGGCUGUCACUAUCUCUGUCAAAUAAAUAAGUAAAUCUUUAAAAAAAGAAAAAAUAUCUCAUUUCAUCUUCAAAGCUCCACUGUGAGUAGAUGGUAGGAUCCCCAGUUUUGGAAUUAAAAAAUCGUCUUGGAGAACUUAAGUAACUUAAGGUUACAGAGCUGUUCAGGGGCUGGACUAGGGCUUGAAUUGAAAGCCUGUGUUCCUCCAAAGGCCGGGUUUGGUUUUCUACCUGGCUCCCAAGACGACCGGCUGGCAGCUGGGGAAAGAACUAGUUUGGAGAACUGGUGUCAGCCUGACUCUUCCAUUUGCUAACGUGGUGACCUUGAACAUCUCACCCGCUUUUUCGGAGCCUCUGUUUCUCAUGCCUAAAAUGGGGACAGUAGUGCUAAUGACCCGAUUUGCAAGCACGGGAUGAAAUAAUCGGUUAUGGGAAUCUGACGCUGGAGGCACUAACUAUAUGUCCUAUAUUCCCACAUGCGAUUUCGAGCAAUCCCCUUCUCUCUUUGCGUCUUGGUAUCCUCAGCUGUCAAGAUGAUGGGGUGACCCUUAAAGUGCUGGUAGGGAGAACAUUCCAGAAUUGGAUUCCAAUUGGGCCACAAUAAAUAUUCCUGACUCAGAAGUUAAUGGAAAGAACUGGAUCAACUCCCAUCCAGUGUGAUUUUGUUGGUAAUUAUUUAUAAUCAUUGUCGUCUGCAUUCCUUAGCUAGCAGAACCUGACAAUAGCAGGUUGCUGCUGCUUUGUUAGGAGGACAAUCCCCGGGAGCAGAAGCAAGAGAAUGGGAAUGAGACAGAGAAGGAGGGGCAUCUGAGCAGACAUGGCUGGGCUGAUUGCCACUAAGUACUUCCGAUGGCUUUAUUUUGUAGCAACGCCUCCGAAAAGCGGCAUCUCAGGGCAGUCUGAAGUAAAAAGAAGAGAAUGAAUUUAUCUUCCAGUCUCCAUCUUCCAUUGCACAACGUUUGGACCAUGAGGUAGUUCCAGACUCUUACUUCAAAGCAUGCCACUGUUGGUGUCUUACACCCACAUCUUUGAACACGUGGAUGAAUAUCGAUUCUUAGAAGUGAACUUUCUGGGUGGAAAGGAGAAACUCGGUUGUCUCGAGUGGGGGUUGAUAUGAAAAUCCGCUCAAAGCCAAAGGGACAAGUGUUCUUUGGAGACUGAGUGUUGCAACCAUCAAACUAUCCAGCAACCACCCGGAAGAUUUUUCAUUUCCACAAGGCUGGUGUGAGGGAUGCCAGCCUAGGACUGCCCGCAGGAGAAUCAGCAACCACCCUUCAAACCCGACCAAUCAUCUUCUCUGCUGUCUACCGGCUUCCAGAAAACAACUGAUCUUCAAAAGAAGAAAAAUAGCCCUGGAGGUUCUUGUGGUAGAGGAAAUUAAGUAUUAAUUGUAAGGUUGGGUCCAGGUUUUGCGGUUGGCUCUACCGUAUUCAAGCCAUAUUUUCUUUAAAAGUUUGUUAACUGGGGCACCUGGAUGGCUCAGUCGGUUAAGCAUCUGCCUUCCGCUCCGGUCCUGAUCCCAGGGUCCUGGGACCGAGCCCCACCUCAGG